CAGGUAUGCUGUCAUCUGCAGGGAGCUGUGGGAGACUGAGCCUUUGACUCCCUGAGACCCCUGUGCUGGCUCAGGCCACUCAGGGCAUUUUUGCCUGCAUCUGUCUGCUGAAGUCCCGGCGGGUCAGAUCCUCCUUGAAGGACUUCAUUUGGGAGCGAGUUGUUAUUUGUCUUUGUCCUCGCAGGCCCUGUUUCUUAGCCUUUGGAGAUGUUCUUGAAAGCUCAGCAGCACCUGUUACAUGGAGCACCAUCAGCUUUGAGGGUGCUGCUGUGUGUGUCCCACACAUAGGGCUGACCACAGCCGUGCUGUCCCAGUGCUCCUGGCUUGGACAUGGUGUGAUUUGUUUCUAGGCCAGGGCUGUUGAGGUCUCUGGCUCUGAAGGUGAUCCAUGAGCUAGAGUAAUGGAGAUUUCUUGCCGGGUCUUCACCUCAGAGCAUUGCUUGGUGUCCUGGGAUGCUGGCUGCAUAUUGCAACACCAGUUGCAGGUUUCCCUGUCCCGGCUUCCCUUCUUAUCACUGUUCUUUAUCAUACAACAGCAGGGAGCCUCAGGGACAGAACAUUCUACCCCUUCCUCACCCCCUAUGGAUGGCAGUGUGGGAAGACCUUGGGAAAGCUGCUCCCCGAGGCAGCUGUGGCUUGAGGGAACCUGCAUGGCCUUGGUGUUGGGUUCUGUGUGGAGGGGAUUGUAAGCACCAGGACUUAGAGAUCAGAGAGGCUGGGUGCUUCUGGUGCCCUGUGGGCAUGGCCCUCCACAGGAGAUGGUGCUCCAUGGGCCAUGCGUACGUGGGGGCCAGGUGUAAUUGUGUUGUAGGACAGGUGGCCUCUGGGGAAUGGAGGAGCAUGGAGGCAGGAAACCAGAUUAUGUCCUCCCUGGGAUUAUGGGAAAAACAUUUCAAGGGCAUUUUUGUUGUUGUUGUUGUUGUUAAUCCUCACCCAAGGAUAUUCCCCCCACUCCCCAUUGAUUUCUAAAGAGAGUAGAAGGGAGGGGGAGAGACACAGAGAGAGAAACAUCGAUGUGAGAGAGAUCCUUCAGUCCUCAGGCCAAUGCUCUAACCACGUAGCAAAACUGGCUAGGGCUUUAAGGGAAUCUUUUGUGAGUGGCUCUCAGUAUUGAGCAGGAGGAUAUUUCUGGUAGCUCUCCAUCAGUUAGUUUCUCUCCAUGGCAAGUUCAGAGAGCACUGUGUAGAUAUUGAUAGACUUGCUUCCUCAGAAGGUGCAGGUGAAGGAAGAGUUCAGGUGUGGCUUGAUCCAGCUUCUCCACACUGUCAUCAAGACAGACUUGUUUCUUCCCCCUUUCUUGGGUGAGUCAGCUUCCUGGUCCCAAGAGGGUCCUGCCAGUUGCUGUCAGAGCUGCACACCUGCUAGUUUAUGUCACCAGGAAAGAGAGUAUCUUUGCCCCAACAAAAGUCUUGAUUCACUUUCCUUGGGUUGCCUUAAGUCAUCUGUUCACCUCUGAACCGUCACUGUGGCCUUGGAAUGGAAUGUGCUGAAUGGUUCAGCCUCUUCCAGAAGCUGGUUGGGGAGUCCGCUUCCCUCAUCUGGAAAUCACUAUGGUGGGGAAGGAAGGGGAGAGAUGGUGAUGAGGGAACCAGUUGACAGCAUCCUCCAUGGAGCUCCUUGCUCUCUCAGCAGCCCCAGCAGCAUUCCACACGGCCUUUCCUGUGAGCCCCAGUGUGUGGUGCCAUACUGAAUGCUUCACAGACCUUGUCUCAUGAAAUUUCGCAGCAGCCCUCAUUAGAGGGAGGGAUGAUGCCCAUCCGCAGAGGGGAAGUGAGGUCUUGACCAGGACUUCUGUGGCAGUGGAUGCCAGGGCAUCCGGCCUCCCUGCGUCUCCUUCCUGGGUAUGACCUGGGCCCUACAAGUUGGGCAUGUGGCUAGAACUGGCCAGUUGGCAAGGUGGACAGAGGUCAGGGAAAUUCCUCCACUCUCUCCCUGUGUUGCUGUCUGGCAAGGUCCUCAGAUAGUGGGGCUAGGCCUCCUGGCAUCUUGAGUGCUUCCUACUGACCAGUCCCGCUGCCCUCAGAGUUGUGCCCCAGCAACCCAGAGGGACCAAGGCAGUUGUCUGAGGAUGUUCUGAGGGCAAUGCUGAGGGGGGCAAAUGCUGAGGGUAUCCUGGGAAGGGUGAAAGCAAGUCCUGGCAGUCCCGGGAACCCCAUCAGCCAUACCCACCUCUCUCCAGGCAAGGGGUGCAUUGGAAAGGAUGUGCUUUGGGAUCAGAUAGAUGGGCUUAACAUUUGACCUUCACAACCCUCCAGUGUGUAGGUGGUCGGUUGUUCAGCUCCUCUGUGCCUUAGUCUUCCCACCUGCAAGGUGGGCAUGGGAGUUUCUGCAGGGGAGAAUUGUUGUCAGGAAUGAGUGGGAUAUGGAGGCCUGUGGCCUAGCUCUAGACCUGCUGAGAGGCACAGGAUGAAGAAAUGCUAUUGCCCUUCCUUACGUUCAUGUGCCUGUGGGUUGGGCAGACCCUGCCCAGCGGCCGGUGCCUUAGCACUGUGUGUUACUAAGUACCAUCUGUUAGUCCUUCGACACUCUGUGGCAUAGAGACCCUUAUCCCAGUUGACUGUUGAGGAAGCUGACACCGAAGCAGGAGCAGAUGGCUUGAUGGUCCUCCCCUGAACUGGUGGACACGUUGCUGUGGACCGCCCAGCAUUGACGUGGCCGUGGCUGUGGCCCCCGCCCGCUGCUGAAUUUGGAUGUGUUGGUGGGACUCUGGAGCUCUGUGCAGCAUUGUGUCCGUGGAAGUUUUGAGCCACUGAGUUGCGAAGAGGAGCAGACGGUGCUAGCGAUGAGCUCCCAAAGCCACCCAGAUGGACUUUCUGGCCGAGACCAGCCCGUGGAGCUGCUAAACCCAGCCCGUGUGAACCAUAUGUCCAGCACCGUGGAUGUGGCCUCGGCGCUGCCUUUGCAGGUGGCUCCCUCGGCGGUGCCCAUGGACCUGCGCCUGGACCACCAGUUCCCGCUGCCUGUGGCGGAGCCCGCCCUCCGGGAACAGCAGCUGCAGCAGGAGCUCCUGGCUCUGAAGCAGAAGCAGCAGCUGCAGCGGCAGAUCCUCAUCGCAGAGUUCCAAAGGCAGCACGAACAGCUGUCGCGGCAGCACGAGGCCCAGCUGCACGAGCACAUCAAGCACCAGCAGGAACUGCUGGCCCUGAAGCACCAGCAAGAGCUGCUAGAGCACCAGCGGAAGCUGGAGAGGCACCGCCAGGAGCAGGCACUGGAGAAGCAGCACCGUGAGCAGAAGCUGCAGCAGCUCAAGAAUAAGGAGAAAGGCAAAGAGAGUGCUGUGGCCAGCACAGAAGUGAAGAUGAAGUUGCAAGAGUUUGUCCUCAAUAAAAAGAAGGCGCUGGCCCACCGGAGCCUGAACCACUGUAUCUCCAGUGAUCCUCGCUACUGGUAUGGGAAAACGCAGCACAGCUCCCUGGACCAGAGCUCCCCGCCCCAGAGCGGUGUGUCGGCCUCCUACAACCACCCGGUCCUGGGCAUGUAUGACGCCAAAGACGACUUCCCUCUCAGAAAAACAGCUUCAGAACCCAAUCUGAAAUUACGGUCCCGGCUAAAGCAGAAAGUGGCUGAGAGACGGAGCAGCCCUCUGUUGCGCAGGAAAGAUGGGCCUGUGGUCACUGCUCUAAAAAAGCGUCCUUUGGAUGUCACAGACUCUGCAUGCAGCAGUGCCCCCGGCUCCGCACCCAGCUCGCCCAACAACAGCUCCGGGAGCAUCAGCACGGAGAAUGGGAUCGCGCCCGCCGUCCCCAGCAUCCCAGCCGAGACCAGCUUGGCACACAGACUGGUGACUCGGGAAGGCUCCGUGGCCCCACUUCCCCUCUACACAUCGCCAUCCUUGCCCAACAUCACACUGGGACUUCCUGCCACCGGCCCUUCUGCUGGGGCGGCAGGCCAGCAGGAAGCCGAGAGACUGGCUCUCCCAGCCCUGCAACAGCGGCUCUCCCUCUUUCCUGGCACCCACCUCACGCCCUACCUGAGCACGGCGCCCCUGGAGCGGGACGGCGGGGCAGCUCACAACCCUCUCCUGCAGCACAUGGUCUUACUGGAGCAGCCACCCACACAGACGCCCCUCGUCACAGACUGGUAUCUUUCAGGCCUGGGCGCCCUGCCCCUGCACACACAGUCUCUGGUUGGCGCAGACCGGGUGUCCCCCUCCAUCCACAAGCUGAGGCAGCACCGCCCACUGGGGCGCACACAGUCGGCACCGCUGCCCCAAAACGCCCAGGCCCUGCAGCACCUGGUCAUCCAGCAGCAGCACCAGCAGUUUCUGGAGAAACACAAGCAACAGUUUCAGCAGCAGCAGCUGCAUAUGAACAAGAUUAUCCCCAAACCCAGCGAGCCAGCCCGGCAGCCUGAGAGCCACCCCGAGGAGACAGAGGAGGAGCUCCGUGAGCACCAGGCCCUCCUGGAGGAGCCCUACCUAGACCGGCUCUCUGGGCAGAAGGAGACCCAGGAGCUGACUGGAGUGCAGGUGAAACAGGAGCCCUUGGAGAGUGACGACGAGGAGGCAGAGCCACCUCGGGAAGUGGACCCUAGCCAGCGCCAGCCCACGGAGCAAGAGCUGCUCUUCAGACAGCAAGCGCUCCUGCUGGAACAGCAGCGGAUCCACCAGCUGAGGAACUACCAAGCCUCCAUGGAGGCCGCUGGCAUCCCUGUGUCCUUCGGUGGCCACCGGCCUCUGUCCCGGGCACAGUCCUCCCCAGCGUCUGCCACCUUUCCCAUGUCUGUGCAGGAGCCCCCCAGCAAACCGAGGUUCACCACAGGCCUGGUGUACGACACAUUGAUGCUGAAGCACCAGUGCACCUGCGGGAACAGCAAUAGCCACCCCGAGCACGCCGGCAGGAUCCAGAGCAUCUGGUCUCGGCUGCAGGAGACUGGCCUCCGAGGCAAAUGCGAGUGCAUCCGAGGACGGAAGGCCACCCUGGAGGAGCUGCAGACUGUGCAUUCGGAGGCACACACCCUACUCUACGGCACGAACCCCCUCAACAGGCAGAAACUGGACAGUAAGAAACGUCUAGGCUCGCUGACGUCCAUGUUUGUCAGGCUGCCCUGUGGCGGUGUCGGGGUGGACAGUGACACCAUAUGGAACGAGGUGCACUCAUCGGGGGCAGCCCGCCUGGCUGUGGGCUGCGUGGUGGAGCUGGUCUUCAAGGUGGCCACAGGGGAGCUGAAGAAUGGCUUUGCCGUGGUCCGCCCUCCAGGACAUCACGCAGAGGAGAGCACGCCCAUGGGUUUCUGCUACUUCAACUCCGUGGCUGUUGCAGCCAGGCUUCUCCAACAGAGGCUGAAUGUGAGCAAGACGCUCAUAGUGGACUGGGAUGUGCACCAUGGAAAUGGGACCCAGCAGGCCUUCUACAGCGACCCCAAUGUCCUCUACAUCUCACUGCACCGCUACGACGACGGCAACUUCUUCCCAGGCAGCGGGGCGCCUGACGAGGUGGGCACAGGGCCGGGCGUGGGCUUCAACGUCAACAUGGCUUUCACUGGUGGCCUUGACCCCCCCAUGGGAGAUGCAGAGUACUUGGCAGCCUUCAGAAUGGUGGUCAUGCCAAUCGCAAACGAGUUUGCCCCAGAUAUGGUGCUGGUGUCAGCAGGCUUCGACGCCGUGGAGGGCCACCCCACACCUCUGGGCGGCUACAACCUCUCUGCCAAAUAUCAAACAGGAUCCCAAACCGAAUUCCUCGAUGAAUUUAUUGCAAUCGAACCUGGCUUCCAUUAUGAGCCGCGGUGUGCCAGCCCCCUGGGUUUCGGGUACCUGACGAAGCAGCUGAUGGGUUUGGCUGGCGGCCGGAUAGUUUUGGCCCUGGAGGGGGGCCACGACCUCACGGCCAUUUGUGAUGCCUCGGAAGCAUGUGUUUCUGCUUUGCUGGGAAACGAGGUAGGAGGACCGGAGGCCCAUGGCUGCUGCACGCAGGCUCCAGACCCAGACCCAGUGUAUGGGCCACUUCACUUGCUCCCCACUUGGUUUUUGAUGUCCCCCCCUACCCCCACUCAGGCAACACAUCUGACAAAACUGCUUGAUUAUGGCCACAAGGAGCUCGAUCCUCUCCCAGAGAAGGUUUUACAGCAGAGACCCAAUGCCAACGCUGUCCGGUCCAUGGAGAAGGUCAUUGAGAUUCACAGCCAGUACUGGCGCUCCCUGCAGCGCCUCCCCUCCACCGUGGCCUACUCCCUGGUCGAGGCCCAGAAGCGCGAGAAUGAAGAAGCCGAGACAGUCACCGCCAUGGCCUCCCUGUCCGUAGGUGUGAAGCCUGCUGAGAAGAGCACUGAAGCGAGCACCCGUGUGUCCUUGCACCCGUGGCGGCGUCUGAGCGGAGUUGCUGGUCAACUGGUGUCAGCACUGUGAGAACGGUUGCUCCCCGCAUCUGUGCGUUUCCACACGCAGGGCACUGACUGGGACGCCGCGUGGAGCCCACCGCCUCUGGGAGCAGCAUUGACUUCUGGGCAAUGAGGACACCUGGGGGGCUCUGGACUGAAGGUGCCCCUGGACCCAGCAGUGGCUCUUCUCUUGGUGGCCCCGCAGCUCAACACUCAUCUCUCAUUCACUCGGUGUGGCUUUGCCGGGUGCUGGGCACUGUCUGGAUGGAGGAGAGACUGAUGGAGGGGCCCACACUCUGGUGGUGGAAGGUCCUCUUUCCAAAGGCCACCUGCUGAGCUGAGCGGCGGCGAGCCAGAGGACGUGCCCGUGGAGGUGGAAGGCGCUCUGUCCCUCCAUGGCUGCAGGUGUUGCAAUAGCAUCCCCCUCCUUCCAAAACUUGGCAAAAGUCUCGAGGAGCAAACCAGCCACAUAUUUGCCGCUGCUCCUUCCUGAAGCUGGACUUUGUUUCUUCAGAAACACCGCGUCCUGCCUGCCUCUUAGACACGCCCGGACCCCCCGCAGUCUCUGCACGUGGCCUACCGGCCGUGGGGGAGGCUGCCUUGCUGUCUGGGUUCCCGGCAUUUUAACCUCGUUGCACCAGCUCCACGCAGCUCCGAAGGCUUUCCGCUUCCCCUCCCAGAGACACCACUUUGUGUACCUGGUUCAGAUCCUGUGACCCAAAAAUGGCCUGUGCAACUGAGGCUGCAGCUGAAUUCCCCGGCAGGACAACCCUCGUUGCUCCUGACACACACCUCUCAAGCUGUGAUGAAGGACCAGAGCUUUGGAAUGUCUGAUUCAGGUGGACUGAUGCUCUAAUGAAAUGCACCCAAGAUGCCACGGCCAAGUCCAAGGUGACGGAUGCAUGCCCAGCUUCUCUCAGCUUUGCUCGACCCCCAGGGCGACGCUGGCGCAGUGGUGGUCUCAGAGCUCGGGUCACGGAGCCGGGGCUCUGAGCUGAGACGGGGCCGGUGGGGGAGGGCUGGCUCCUGCUUCCCCAGUGCCCUGCUGCCAGGAGCCUGGUCAACCCGAUGACCCGGUGAGCGGCUGGGAAUGGACCUGGUGUUGAGUCUCCCCGGACUCUCUGGCCUCUCCUUGGUGCCACCAGGCACACCAGUCCCUCCGCGGUGACACCUCCUCGCCACAACACGUUGGGUGGAUUCGGCCGGGCUUUAUCAGCAUGUUUGAGUGGUUUCGUGGUUGCUUAUUAAUCCUGCUUCUUAAAUACAUGUUGAUCUUUAAUAGGAAACAUGGUGAUUCAUUAAAAAAACAACAGUGUUAAAAUGAGAUGAUGGCAGAGCUAGAAUUGGACCUACAUAGUGCUUGACCAAGUUCACGUGCAAAAUCCAAGCGACUUGCCAGGUGGUCAUUCUCACCUGCCAGCUCUCAGAUUCAACCCCCGAGGACUUUCCUUGGACAGUUUCCCAUCGGGAAUGGCCUCCGGGUGCCGGAGGGCAUUGGGGUCCACAGAUGGCUGUGAAGAGAUGGACGGGGAGCCUGCCUUCAGGACACAUCUAGUCCAAGGGGCCACCGGGGAGGGGCAGGCAGAGGCAGGCACGGCUGGUCCCAGGCAGGGACCCAAUGCCCCACGGGGUCAGGACCACACUGGCCUGUCCACCUUCAUGCUCUGUGUCCAGCCUGGACUUCAGGAAUUUUUGCUGAUUGACUGACAGACCACCCCUUCCCCAUCCCCCCUCCCCCCACGCCUGCCCAGGUGUGCGGUGCUUGAGGGAACAGGACUCUGCCGCAGGACCUGCAGCGGGAGGGGGAGUCGCCUGACAAGGUAUGCCAUCGACGCCCUUGGCUCGGGACCUUGUCCUCAAAAGGUCUGCCUUUCCCAAAGGGACACCCCAGACCCAGCUGGGUGGGGGCUGGGAAAACUCAGCUCAGAGUGGAGAGGGGAGGCAUCUGACCCACCCUUGAACUUUUCUGGCAGGGAAGUGAAGUCCGUGAGGAAACACAGUGAGUCUGGGCUUCCUCAGGCUCUGCAGGGAGCCGCCUUGGGAGGGAUAAAUCAGCGUGGGAAGGAGGCAGGAAGGUGGGAGGAUGGGUGAGCAUGGGGGGCUUUGACCCGAAAAGUUUGCUUUCUGGGAAUGACGACGUUCUGAGAGUGUGCUGUUUGCGCAUAUGUGUUAUGUAGUGGCAUGUGCGUGUGUGCACGUAUGUGCCUGUGCCUAUUGUGAAUGCCUGUGCACACCUAUGUGACUGCAGGUGUGUGCGUGCAGGUGUGACAUCCUCUGCAGGUGAAGAGCGGAGACAUCCCCCCAAAGGCUGCUCAGCUCCCCUGGGCUGGGGCGAGCCAUCCCUUCAUCCCCAUCCACAGGGCAGGCCCCCACAGCCCCCCACCCCAUCUAGGGCUUCUGGAGGUGGACUGUCCACAGGGAGGGGUCCUGUGCCCACUUCCACAAGAGAACAGCUCGGUGCCCAGGAACAGAGGGUGAGCACACCCCUGUCCUCGCCACCCCCUCCCCCGUCUGCAUCCGUCCCUUCCCCUCCCCCACUGCCUCCGUUUGUGGCAGAAACCCUGGGUGAGGCCCAGAGAGGUGGCCCUGUUUCUCUAAAGGGCAGGCUGGGGGUGCCCUUAGGUGAAGGCAGGACCCAGAAAAGGCCCCGAUGGCCUGGGAGACACACCCUGGAGUGCUCCGGGCCCCUUCCCCGUGGGGCGAGGGGCAGAUGUGGCCUUUCCUGCCUGAUGGUUUGCUCACCAUCAGGGAAGCCCGUGCCUCCCUCAGAGGAGCACAUGGACACCACACCGACCAGGUCCGUAAAGGGCCUCCUCAGGGCUGGUCCCAGGGCAGCGUCUGUGGGGGAGGCCCUGUGGGAUGUGCAAGGGCAGCUGGUCACCCUCGGUGGGUGGACAGGAGCCAUCAGAGGCCCUGAGGCCCACCCCCUUCCAGGACGCUCAGGGCCUGCCCAGAGGGUGACAGGCGGCUGCCCACGGUCCUGCCCAGGCCUCGGCAGGCCCCGCCGCCACCCGCUUUGCUCCUGGGAGUUGGAGCUGGCUGCUGAGGUGGGUCCUCCGGCACAGGGAUGCUCCCAGAUUUAAGACCUUCCUGUGUGUGUGCAGGUCAGUGCUGGGGAGCAUCGAACUGGAGGCCGAGGGCCAGCGAUUACCUCACGCCGGACAGAUCCCAGCUGCUCUGCACAGAUAAGCAGCUGCAAGCUGAUUGAGUGGGAAUCGUGCAAGAUGGUGAGUAAGUGGGACGAGGGGGCUGGGGGCCAGGACGCCUCCCAUGGCCCAACCUCAGGUUCAGACACAGCCUGGGGCUGGGUCCACUCUGCUGGGCGUUAGGUCCCGGAGGUUCUGGUGCCCCGGCUGAGCCCGCUGGCGGGCCCACAGACCAGCAGAUGUGAUGUGAUGGGAUGAGGGCGUGGACAGGGGCGGGGCCGAGGGGCUGCCCAGACCUCCUGCCAGAUUUCUGACAUCCUUGUGAAAAACAACAGGCCAGGGCCAAGUGUCCUCCUGGGAGAGAGGUGGGAGCAGCCCGUAGGCACGGUGACCCGUGUGGGGACGGGCAGUGCGUGCACUGGGCUCCGGGUGGCAGGUUGGGCGGCUGCAGGGCCUGACUCACUGGGAGGAAGGGGGCAAAGACAUUCCACGUGAGUUUUUAAAAUCCUGCCAACUUUCUAGGGAGCGGGAGCUGCGUGCGGGGAGGAGGGCUUCCUGCCAGGCCCAGCGGAGCCGCAGAGGGCCACCCCGCCUCCCUGCGGCCUCUGGAGCUGUGACCCUCGCCCUCCCAGGACCCACCUCGCCUGGCGUUCAUCUUCCUCUGAGGAAGGGACAGGACAGCUCGGAGCCCACAGGUGCUGCACAGACAGGACCAGCUGACGGUGACCUCUUCCUUCCACACCCGCCCAGGGUCACCACGGCAGCACAGGCAGGAGGCAGAGGGACAGGUUGUGGGGGUUUGCCACCCUCACAGGCUGGAUGGACGGAAGUUCAACUCCACCAGACACCCCCUCCCUGCCCUCAUCCCCGCGUCCACACUCCCGUCGCAGGUCCUCACGCCCCCGCCACCCUCCACUGCUGCGGGUGCUGGCUGUCCGUUUGGUUUUCUGCGAGAUGGGAUUCUCUCUGGGACCUCCUACCAGUUCGCCCCUAGGCACCAAGCACAGCGCGGCUGCUUCCUUCUGCUCCCACUGAGCAGGCACAGCUGCCCCCAGUUCCUUACCUGUUAUCAACAGGAAGGGGUCCCUGGUCUCCCCCCCGCACCCCGGUCUCUGGUUACAACAUCUCCCCACACCCGUUUCCCUCUGUCACGAAGCACAGGCCCACGGGGCAGUGACCAGUCCAUGGCCACCCUGCCAGACCGGAGCUUGGUCUCGGGACCCCAAGCCCGGUGCCUUUUCUACUGCAGCAGCAGGUCCCAGAAGUCACUUCCCCGCGGGAGACCCGGUCCUUACAAAGGAGCCUCGGUCAGACGACCUUGAAGCACAAGAUGCCCAGGGCAACGGGGACUGGAGCCAUGGCCACCGGCUCUGCCCCCUGCCCCACCAGGUGGUUGCCCGGAGGUCACCCGACAGACAGGCCAGGGUCCGAGGAACAUGAACGAAAGCCCAGGACAGCAGGGGUAGCGGCAGGUGCCUGCUUCGUGCAGGUGUGGGGUUUGUCCCCAGCGAGGGAGCCAGAGGCCAGUGACGCAGGGCCUCCCGGUGACGAGCCCUCUCCUGGGCUC
Molecule: RNA transcript, 11028 nt
Organism: Myotis myotis
Lineage: Eukaryota; Metazoa; Chordata; Mammalia; Chiroptera; Vespertilionidae
Gene: HDAC4
Gene name: histone deacetylase 4
Exons: 32
Source: RefSeq, a predicted model, not a curated record